UUGGAGGCCUGCCUGCCCAGUGAACUAAGCGUUAAACGGCCGCGGUAUUCUGACCGUGCAAAGGUAGCAUACUCAUUUGUUCUCUAAAUAGAGACUUGUAUGAGCGGCCACACGAGGGUUUUAGUGUCUCUUACUUCCUAUCAGUGAAAUUGACCUCCCCGUGAAGAGGCGGGAAUGAAUUAACAAGACGAGAAGACCCUAUGGAGCUUUAACUAACUAGUCCAAAAGAAAUAAAUUUAACCACCAAGGGAUAACAACAUCCUUUAUGGACUAGCAUUUUUGGUUGGGGUGACCUCGGAGAACAAGAGAUCCUCCGAGCGAUUUUAAAGACACUACUUACUCUGUCAAAUCCAAUAUUAUUCGACUCUAUAUGAUUCUCAAUACAAACGUUAGAAUACAAUCUGAGCAACCAAAGGUGUAUCACCCUAGGCGGGCAUUAUACCAUGACUGUCCAAAUGCACGUUACUCUCCUAAAUGCAGGAUCCACAAUUAAGUGCGGUAUCUUAACUAAAA
This 513-nucleotide ribosomal RNA is filed under the name Capra hircus (goat). Its description in RNAcentral is "partial large subunit ribosomal RNA". It matches the Rfam family "Archaeal large subunit ribosomal RNA", at positions 1937 to 2529 of the family's 2987-position model. Lineage: Eukaryota; Metazoa; Chordata; Mammalia; Artiodactyla; Bovidae. The record is from RNAcentral.